Molecule: long non-coding RNA, 1197 nt
Organism: Trachemys scripta elegans
Lineage: Eukaryota; Metazoa; Chordata; Testudines; Emydidae
Exons: 2
Source: RefSeq, a predicted model, not a curated record
ACCCCUGCGGGAUCCCACUAGAUACAUCCUCCCAGUUUGACAGUGAGCCAUUGAUAACUACUCUUUGAGUAUGGGCUUUCAAUCAGUUUUGCACCUAUUUUUUCUAGACCACAUUUCCCUAGUUUGCUUAUGAGAACAGCAUGAGGGGCUGUGCAGAAGCCUUACUAAAAUCAAGACAGAUCACAUCUACGGCUUCCCCACCAUCCACUAGGCCAGUAACCCUGUCAAAGAAAAAAAUUAGGUUGGUUCGGCAUGAUUUGUUCUUGACAAAUCCAUGUUGGAUAUUCCGUAUAACUCUAUUAUCCUCUAGGUGCUUACAGAUGGAUUGUUAAAUAAUUUGUUCCAGUAUCAUUCCAGGAACUGAAGUUAGGCUGACUGGCCUGUAAUUUCCCAGGUCCUCUUUUGUUCCCCUUCAUAAAGAUAGAUAUUAUGUUUGACCUUCAUCAGUCCUCUGGGAUCCCACCAGUCCUCCAUGAGUUCGCCAAGAUAAUCACCAUCAGUUCUGAGAUUGCUUCAUCUAGGUCCUUCAUCAGGCCCUGCUAACUUAAAUAUUUAUACCAAGAGUCUUUAACCUGUUCUUUUCCUAUUGUGGAUUGUGUUCUAUUUCAUGCAAAUGCUAUGAAAUGUCAAGGCACGUGACAGAAAACAUUUCUAUGGAGACAUUAACAUUUCAGCGUUGGAUGCCUACAUCAGAAAUGACAACAUUUUAAACAAAAAUCUGAUUUCUAUCAAGUGAAGAAAGAGUUGGGUGCAUUUGUGACCUCCGCCUUGUCCAAUUAUCCACCAUGCCUGGCUUUGCAAGAUACCUAACAAUAUGCACUUUGUAUCCAUGAUAAGAAUUGGUAACUACCUUUGUUGGUGCAGAAGAUUUAAUCUAGAUUAAAUUAAGGUAAAAUACAACUUUGGAGAUUCUGGACCCUGUGUUUAAUAAAUUCAGAUUCUGCUAAUAUAAUCUCUCAGCUCUAUAGUAAACUUCUAUAUUGUUUAAAUAAAAAGUCUCUCUCUUUAUUGGGCUGAGUUUGCUCUAGAAACUCCCCUUACCCUUCACCCUUUAAAAGUUUCUGCUUCUGAUUUACUCAUCCUUGUGGCGUGUGUGUAUACACGUGUACAUACCUAAUUCCUGAACUCAUCAAUCCCACUGUUGGGCCAGCAGGGGAAAAGAGGAAAGACCAAAAAAAAAAAAAAAAAAUCUCUAUU